This 234-nucleotide long non-coding RNA is filed under the name Sorghum bicolor (sorghum). RNAcentral's name for it is "long non-coding RNA (SBIC_LNC005235)". Lineage: Eukaryota; Viridiplantae; Streptophyta; Magnoliopsida; Poales; Poaceae. The record is from RNAcentral.
CGCCAUAUUUAUUUAUUUAUUUUUUCUUAUUGCCAUUAUUUAUUUUCUGUAAUUAUUUAUUGCAUUUAAUUCCAUAUAUUUACUCUAUUGCGAUACUUUAUAUUUAAUUGUAAAGUAAUCUUGAAGAUUACACCUAGGAAAUUAUAUAGUCCUGAAGACUAUAUUAAGUCGUAAUCCUGAAGAUUACGCAUCGACAUCUACUAAUCCUGCGCAUUAAUUGUGCAGGCAUGUCGG